RNAcentral lists this ribosomal RNA (497 nucleotides) under uncultured bacterium. Its description in RNAcentral is "partial 16S ribosomal RNA". It matches the Rfam family "Bacterial small subunit ribosomal RNA", at positions 28 to 507 of the family's 1533-position model. The record is from RNAcentral.
GAUGAACGCUGGCGGCGUGCCUAAUACAUGCAAGUCGAGCGAACGGACGAGAAGCUUGCUUCUCUGAUGUUAGCGGCGGACGGGUGAGUAACACGUGGAUAACCUACCUAUAAGACUGGGAUAACUUCGGGAAACCGGAGCUAAUACCGGAUAAUAUUUUGAACCGCAUGGUUCAAAAGUGAAAGACGGUCUUGCUGUCACUUAUAGAUGGAUCCGCGCUGCAUUAGCUAGUUGGUAAGGUAACGGCUUACCAAGGCAACGAUGCAUAGCCGACCUGAGAGGGUGAUCGGCCACACUGGAACUGAGACACGGUCCAGACUCCUACGGGAGGCAGCAGUAGGGAAUCUUCCGCAAUGGGCGAAAGCCUGACGGAGCAACGCCGCGUGAGUGAUGAAGGUCUUCGGAUCGUAAAACUCUGUUAUUAGGGAAGAACAUAUGUGUAAAUAACUGUGCACAUCUUGACGGUACCUAACCAGAAAGCCACGGCUAACUACGUG